This 990-nucleotide small RNA is filed under the name Pongo abelii (Sumatran orangutan). RNAcentral describes it as "retained intron". Lineage: Eukaryota; Metazoa; Chordata; Mammalia; Primates; Hominidae. The record is from RNAcentral.
GUAGACCCAGAGAGGCUCAGCUGCGCUUGCCUGGCUGGGAGAACUGGGUGUGGGGAACAUGGCUGGGCCCCGGAGGCUCCUGCUUCUGCCCCUCCUUCUGGCGCUGGCUUGCGGCCUGCCUGGGGCCCUGGCUGCCCAAGAGGUGCAGCAGUCUCCCCACUGCACGACUGUCCCUGUGGGAGGCUCCGUCAACAUCACCUGCUCCACCAGCGGGGGCCUGCGUGGGAUCUACCUGAGGCAGCUCAGGCCACAGCCCCAAGACAUCAUUUACUACGAGGACGGGGUGGUGCCCACUACGGACAGACGGUUCCGGGGCCGCAUCGACUUCUCGGGAUCCCAGGACAACCUGACUAUCACCAUGCACCGCCUGCAGCCGUCGGACACUGGCACCUACACCUGCCAGGCCAUCACGGAGGUCAAUGUCUACGGCUCCGGCACCCUGGUCCUGGUGACAGGUAGGGAAUGCGCCCAUCCCAGACCCCCCUCCUGACCCCAGCUGCUGGCCAGGCUCUGCUCCCCCGGCCCUUGUCGUGGGACCCUCCCUCCUACACAUGCCUGAACUGUUCCAGCUCCCAGCCCACCGCCCCCAGCAGCCUCCUAGAUAGCUGCCCCUCCUCUCCUCCACAGCCUUUCCCUGCCCUGAACCCCAAACCCCGGGGGCUCUAACAGGUUCUCCACCAGGAGAAUCCCUUCCUUCUUUCUUCCUUCACAGAGGAACAGUCUCAAGGAUUGCACAGAUGCUCAGAUGCCCCGCUGAGGGCCUCUGCCCUCCCUGCCCGGCCGACAGCCUCUGCCCUCCCUGCCCGGCCGACAGCCUCUGCCCUCCCUGCCCUGCCGACAGCCUCUGCCCUCCCUGCGGCCCUGGCAGUGAUCUGCUUCCUCCUCGGGCUGGGCCUGGGGGUGGCAUGUGUGCUGGCGAGGACACAGGUCAGUGUGAGCCCCAGCUGCCACCUGCACCCCACAGAUUGUUCCCUCUCCUGAGAGCAGUGU